GGUAUUGCCUCAGGCUGGGGGGCUAGUGUGGGGCAGUGGCCCUGGCAGGUCAGCAUCCGCCAGGGCUUGAUUCACGUCUGCUCAGAUACCCUCAUCUCAGAGGAGUGGGUGCUGACAGUGGCGAUCUGCCAUUUAUACUACCAGGAGAUGCUCAUACCUGUGUCCCAGAUUAUCCCCCCACCCUGAUUUCCAAGCAAACACAUCUAGUGCCAUCGCUGUGGUAGAACUGCCCUCCCCAGUUUCUGUUAGCCCUGUUGUCCUGCUCAUCUGCCUUCCCUCAUCUGAAGUCUACCUGAAGAAGAAUACAACCUCCUGCUGGGUGACUGGAUGGGGCCUGAAGGAGCUGAAAGUGCCCCUCAUUGAUCCCGUGAUGUGUCAAGUUGAAGAUUUCUAGGUCCUGGCAGGAGUGGUAAGCCAGGGAUCAAACUGCAUCCAAACCAGUGGGCCUGGAAUAUACACAAACAUCCAUUUCUACAAGUCUUGGAU
This 486-nucleotide long non-coding RNA is filed under the name Homo sapiens (human). RNAcentral's name for it is "non-protein coding lnc-PRSS48-1:1". Lineage: Eukaryota; Metazoa; Chordata; Mammalia; Primates; Hominidae. The record is from RNAcentral.